This 1074-nucleotide long non-coding RNA is filed under the name Canis lupus familiaris (dog). RNAcentral describes it as "lncRNA (ENSCAFG00030022634.1)". Lineage: Eukaryota; Metazoa; Chordata; Mammalia; Carnivora; Canidae. The record is from RNAcentral.
GCGGGGCGGGGUGAGGCGGGUGUGGACCCGGAGAGGCCGCUGCUGCCCCCGGAGCUCAGGGGAGUGACGGAGGCCGCUGCUGGCCCCUGACCUGAGGUGACUGACAGAGGCUCCUGCUGACCCCUGACCUGAGGGGAGUGACAGAGGCCCCUGCUGACCCCUGACCUGGGGUGACUGACAGAGGCUCCUGCUGACCCCUGACCUGAGGUGAGUGACAGAGGCCCCUGCUGACCCCUGACCUGAGGUGAGUGACAGAGGCCCCUGCUGACCCUUGACCUGGGGUGACUGACAGAGGCUCCUGCUGACCCCUGACCUGAGGUGACUGACAGAGGCCCCUGCUGACCCCUGACCUGGGGUGACUGACAGAGGCUCCUGCUGCCCCCUGACCUGGGGUGACUGACAGAGGCUCCUGCUGCCCCCUGACCUGGGGUGACUGACAGAGGCCCCUGCUGCCCCCUGACCUGAGGUGACAGAGGCCCCUGCUGGCCCCUGACCUGAGGUGACUGAUCCUGAUCAAGGCGUUGAGAUCCAGGAUUCAUUACUAGUGACCUCUGACCUGGGGCUACGGAUGACCUCCGACGUGAGGUCGUGACGUGAGUGACGUAGGCGUGGUGACGCACGAUCGGCGACCAGUGACCUUCGACGUGAGGUCAGAAGGCGGACGGUCCGCUCGGCGCGGGCCCAGGCGCCUGCGGGGCAGGAGGGCGGAGAAGCCGCGGCGGGGCCGGGCCUGCUGGCUGCGCUCGCGGCCGUGGAAGACCCUCGGGGCGAGAGGCGGACACGGCAGGGCCUGCUGGGCGCGCUGGGGCGGUGCACCGGAAGAAGGGCCAGCUUAUCAAACAGAGUGAACGACAUGAUGAUUUUCACAGCUGUCACGGACUCUUCACCGGUUUCCAGGCAUCCUUGGCGUGUGACCACCGUGGACGCAGCCUAGCACGCUGGGCACUGAGGGCAGCACAUGAAGGGUCACUGAUCAGGCUUAAAGUACAAGAGCUGAUGCAGUCUGUCCAGUUUUGUCUGGUUUUGGAGCAUCAUCUUUGGAGGGAACGUCAAACAGUUCUUUGGAAAUUCUGA